This is a non-coding RNA of Myotis lucifugus (little brown bat), 75 nucleotides long. The record is from Rfam. NCBI's taxonomy places the organism in Eukaryota, Metazoa, Chordata, Mammalia, Chiroptera, Vespertilionidae.
GGCAGUUCUCAAGUAAUGCACCCCAGAAUUGGGCUCCCUCCUCUCUGGUUCCGGGUGCAUCACCCGAGAACCGCA